AUGACAAGAAGGACCACCACCCAAGUCUCCUUUCCAUGUGCGCACCGGAAAACCCCAGUGGGCUCAGCUCCCUGCAGCUCACCAGGCGGCUGCAACAGGUGCAGCCCCAGCCAAGGCUGGAGAGUCUCCUUGGCUGUUCUAGAAUCACGCAGCCCGAACCCUGAAGGAAGCCCGAGGCCUGCAGCCCUCACCGCCAGGGCCCUGACCUGCCCCACCUGUCUGAGUGCGCGUCUCCGGCCGGCGCUCGGGGGCCGCGGCCUCCGGCCCGAAAUAGAAGCCCGCGGAGCGCGCAGGCCCAAGCGGCUGGACCGGGAGCGCCGGGCGGGGGCCCCGCGGCCAGGGGAGCGGCCGGCCCGGUCUGCGCGCCGCCCCCGCUCCCAGCCGCGAUCGGCCGCGCGCCCUGCGCCCCCGGAGCCACCUGCGCGCCGGCCCCGAGGGUGCUCGGGCGGGGAGGGGUCCCGGAGGUGCUGGGAGGGGCCUGGGGGCUGGGUCCCGAGGCGGGCCGCCGGGAGGGUCCGAGGAGGGGACGCCCGCCGGGAGGGUCGGGGGUCCGGGGAGCAGUCGGGGGGCUCCGGGGCGGGGACUCCGGGAGGGUCGGGCGGGGUGGAGGCUCUCCGGAGGGUCCCGCCGCCGCCCCCGCGCACCUGCCGGGCCCGCGCGCUCCCGCCGCCAGCCGGCCCUUACCUGGCGUGGCGCGUCCUGGCCGCGCGUCCCGGCGGUGCCCGGCCCGGCGAGCGCGGGCGCAGGAAUGGCGGCGGGCGGCGGGGCGCUCGGGCCGGGCUCGGGGCGGCGGGGGCGGCGGCGGGGGCGGGGGCGGCGGCGGCGGCGGGGGCGGCGGCCGGGGAUGCUGCGGCGCGCGAGGGCGCGGAGGCCGGCGCGGGAGGGAGGGCGCGGGGCGGCGCGCAGGCCCCUCCCCCGCUCCCGCCUCCCCUUCCCGCCGCCUCCUCCCCCGCCCGGCUGCCCGCAGACUCCGCCUCCCCGGCUCGUUCCCUCCCCUCCGCCCUCCCCUUUCUUCACCUUCCUCCCCCACUCCUCCCCCUCCUGCCUCCUCCCGCCUGCUCUCCGCGCGGGGCCUCAGAGGCGGCCCCUGGUCCGCCCGCGCUCAGGCGGGCCCAGAGCCACCCGCCCCCGCCCCCGCCCCCACCCCGACGCCCACCCCGACCCCCACCCCCACCCCCACCACCUGCUCAGGGACCGGCGGGCCCCUCCUGGGAGCCCGGCCUGACUGCACCCCUCCCGGCCCCCCCAAAUCCCCAGGCCUCCCGCGCCCCCCAGGCCUCCCGGCCACUCUGCUGGGACCCUGCCCUGCACGCACGUGUGCACAGCCCACGCUGGUUGCCCCUUUGCAUCUUAGGGAGCCUGACUUUGGGCAGGAGCCUUCUGAGCGGCCCCCUGCAUCUCCCAGACUGA
RNAcentral lists this long non-coding RNA (1410 nucleotides) under Canis lupus familiaris (dog). Its description in RNAcentral is "lncRNA (ENSCAFG00030003044.1)". Lineage: Eukaryota; Metazoa; Chordata; Mammalia; Carnivora; Canidae. The record is from RNAcentral.